Equus caballus (horse) is the source of this 1957-nucleotide long non-coding RNA. NCBI's taxonomy places the organism in Eukaryota, Metazoa, Chordata, Mammalia, Perissodactyla, Equidae. The record is from Ensembl.
AGUUUGAGAAGCUCUGAUUUAAGGGGCCUGGCACAGCUCCUUGAAGCGAACGCACCCAGCUGUGAAAACCUAAGGCCACAAGCCCUGACCAUGACAUCCUUCUAAUCACUCGUCUGAAGUGGCCGACGGCUGCUAAUUCUGUCUCAUUGCCCGUGUAAUCCUCACAACCACUCUGGGAGGCAGACGAUGACCCCCAGAACCCAAGGCUCGGAAAGGCCUAGAUGUCUUUCUGUUCCACGGACCCUCCCAGGGGGCAACUCAGACCUUCGUAUACCCAGACUUGGAGAUCCACAGAUGAAAGGCGCUCUAGGACUACAAAGUAACAUUCCGACCAAGAAGAAGAACGCCGCUUGGCCUCAGAUGCCGGGCUCCCCCGCGUUGAUCGAGCUGCACCUUCAACGACUCCUGUGCUCGCCCAUCAUCGCUCGUUUCACAAUCUCCCGGCCGGACUGGGCAACAGAGAUCUGAAUCCCCCUGAAGGAGACGGAGGCUCCAAGAUUGCGUCCCCUCGCCCCUCGGUCCCUUGGGAAAGAGCCCGCUGCCAGGAGAGCUUACCUAUUUCCAAAUAUCACAGACGCGCGGCUAAAACAACAGAGCCCCCUGCCAUCCUCAUGCCCACGCCCCAGGGCUCCCGCGGGGAGUAUGAGCUCUCCCCACAGAAGGCAUGGAGCCUGGGACGUUGGCGUGAACAGAUCUGGACGUGUGAGGACAAACUCAGGGGGCACUGGGAGCAGAAGCACCCUGGCCCAGGGAGCCCCAGGGGGAAGGGCAGUGCCCAGACAGCAGGAGACCCUAGGACGCUCCAGCUGGGUGGCCAGCAGCCCGAUGGCUCCCCUAGGGCCUUGGAGGACAUCUUCAAGGACACCUCUGCCUCCCAGGACUGGCUAGUAUCGGUGCCCUCAGAGAUGUGCUCACUCCUCUGGGGCGAUCCCCAGGGCCUGGCAGUGGUCUGGUGACAUCCACAGCCUGCACUGUCCUGCAGGGCGGCCCUGGGGGCAGGACCUGGCUGAGGUGGGCUACCUACCCUCCCAGCCCCUCAGCUGAUGGCAGGGAGCUGCAAGUCACUGAGUCUGGCUCAGUUCCUCAUGGGACCCCUGGACAGAGGGAAGAUAGUAAGUGGGAACAGGACAAGGUCUGCUCCUCCAGGCCGCAGCCCCAGCUGCCCACUGGGCGCAGGAGGCCGCCUGCCACUCCUCUCUUCCUUCCUUCCUUUCCCUCUUUCUUCCUUCCUUCCUUCUUUCUGCCGCCUCCUUGCAGCUCGGAGCCUGGCUCUGGAGGCAAACAUGAAAAGGGCACAGGCCCAUCCUUAGGGAGCUCCGAGGGACUCAGAGGGAAAGGCCCGUGGCCUAAGGAACACCUGUGCUAAGGUAAAUAUGACCCCAGAGCACCUGGGCAGAACAGGGGGAGCGGUGAGGGAAGGCAGCGGCAGGAAUCCGCGAGUGGAUCAGCAGCGAUCCCACCAUACCACCUGCUCGUCCUCAGGCAAACCCCCACUCGACCCCCUGACCCCUUGGCCUCCCCUUAGUUCCCUUUACACUCCAGUGGUCAUUCCUCCUUCCUCCUCCUGCCAACCCAGUCGUGGCCCCUUCAGGCCCCAGCUCAGGGACCCCUCCUCUGUCACAUCCCCUCCUCCAGGUCCCACCAGCACGUCUGGUCACACUUGGUGUCUGAGGGCCUGGAUGUUUCUAGACCCUGGUCCCCAAGUGGCCUGGUCUCAGCAGCUCCCGGACCCAGCCCCCUGCCCCGUCCACCGGCAGCAGGGAGCCGGAGACAGCAGGGCCUCGCCGGGAGUCACAAGUGGCAGGCUCUGAGCAGCGGAGAGCUUCUCCAUCUGGAUGGCAGGCGACCCCAACUGCGGCUCGUCCUUGAAUCACGUCUUGUAAAAAAUCAUUUGCACAUUUGAAUUCAAAGCCCCUCAAAACAGUAUAAACACCACCAUUCCAAGUACCAUAAAAAC